Molecule: ribosomal RNA, 774 nt
Filed under: uncultured Neocallimastigales
Lineage: Eukaryota; Fungi; Neocallimastigomycota; Neocallimastigomycetes; Neocallimastigales
Description: partial large subunit ribosomal RNA
Rfam family: Eukaryotic large subunit ribosomal RNA
Source: RNAcentral
ACACUGACGUCGCGACGCAUAUCAAUAAGCGGAGGAAAAGAAACUAACAAGGAUUCCCUUAGUAACGGCGAGUGAAGCGGGAAGAGCUCAAAUUUGAAAUCUUCAAGGUUUUACCUUGACGAAUUGUAGUUUAAAGAAGUGUUUUCUGUUAGAUGAGUAGCAAAAGUUCCUUGGAAUGGGACAUCAUAGAGGGCGAGAAUCCCGUAUUUGGUCAUUCCUUCUAGCUUUGUGAUACACUUUCAAAGAGUCGGAUUGUUUGGGAAUGCAGUCCAAAAUGGGUGGUAAAUUUCAUCUAAAGCUAAAUAUUGGCGAGAGACCGAUAGCGAACAAGUACCGUGAGGGAAAGAUGAAAAGAACUUUGAAAAGAGAGUUAAACAGUACGUGAAAUUGUCAAAAGGGAAGCGUUUGACACCAGUGUUGUUUUUCCGAAAAUCAAUUACGAAUGGCUUGAUUUUGUGUUGUAUUGACCUUAUCAACUUUCUGCACUUUUUUCGAGUCUUUCUUAAUGCACUUUUCGGUUAACAAGUCAACAUCAAUUUCUUUUGUUGUAAAAGAGUAUUCGGAAGGUGGCUUUCUUUUCGGAGAAAGUGUUUAUAGCCCUAUACUUCUACAAUCGGAGAGAUUGAGGUCUGCAGCGUAGAUCCUUCGGGGUUAGAUACACCUGUGCUAAGUUAUAGCUUUUCAUAGACAACUUGUUGACUAUGUUUAGUCAUGUCGCUUACUCGCUUGUGCUAUUUUACCUACGCUUAGGAUGUUGAGUCGUAGAGCACGCAG